UGAGUCAUGGUGGUUGUGAUAGAAACUACUCUUUUUUUAGGGGUCAUCUUUAUUCCACGAACAAUCAUGAUGAAAUGCUUUGGUUAUUACAGUGGGAUGAGACCAACACACACACACACAAACAGCUAUAGCUUUCUAAGUAGCACAUAACAAACAUCAUCAUCCAAAUAUCACCUCAAAGUCAUCGAAUUGAGAUUACUUAUGGCACUCAGUUUUGCUCCGUUUGCGAGCUGUAAGACCUUUAUGAUGAUACUUUCUGAAUUUUUAAUAAAAGGGCCGCAUGCAUCAUCAUGAUGCAGAGGCCGGGGGUAUACCUCCAUUUCCAAAAAAACAACAAUACGGGUAGGAGUGGUGCUCACAAUAGCUCCUGAGGUAGUCGUAGCCUUUGCUUACGCAGAAGUUUCGGCACUUGUGCUGGUCAUAACCAUGCACCGGUCUCUUGCAUUCCCACAUAGAUUCAUGGUAUAUGUCAGGAUUUGUGUCUGCAUGCACACGCACAAAAAGGACGAACAAUUAAUACGUGUGUUCCAUGUGAAAGAAAGAAUGAAGCAUCACGUAGUAGAAAUAGUACUCUACAUACCCUUGGCGUUGCAGGAUAAGCGAGGCCGGCAUGACUAGAAGAGCUACGGCCAAGCACAGAAACUGCGUGUUGUUCCUGGCAUGUGCCAUGGCGAAUGACUGGCUAGUUAAUUAAUCCUCUUCUUCUGGACGGUGUUGUCUUUUGGUCCAUGGAUGCUUUUAAUGUUUUAUUCGAAUUUUUUAUUAUUUUCUUUGCCUUCUUUAAAUGUGUGAAAUUAUUUUCAAAAUCAAUGUAUUUUUUUAUUUUUGCGCCUUUUUGAAAAAACGAUGAACCUUUUCAAAUUUAUGAUUUUUUUUGGAAAUGUGUGAACUCCUAAAAAACGAUGAACUUAAAAUUUGAUGAACUUUUUGAAAAUUCAUGUACAUUUUUAAUUCAUGAUUUUUUUAUUUUUUUACCAAAAAAUGAUUUAUUUUUUAAAGUCAAUGGUUGACCGGUCAAGCUUGACCAGUCAGCAGCGAACCCAACGACCAGUCAACAACCGAACCGACCUGACUGAGCCAGCGAGCGUGUGUUUGGAUCGGGCCCAAGAGUGUGGCUGCGUGCUCCACCUCGGCGAAGGGGCGCCUUAAGCGUCGUCUAGGAGCUCCCGCGCCCUUCGGCUGAUGCCCUCUCUUCCACUCAAUUUACAUACGGGCCAACACUUUAGGCUUUGGUCUGGGCUUUUUUCUGUCGCCAUCCCGUCGUCCACGGCUUAGCAAGCCCAGGCUACUUCUCGUGCUUUCUUCUUCUUUCAAGUUCUGCACUGAGUCACGGUGGGUGUGACAGAAACUACUCAUAUUUAUUCUUUCUUUUUUGCGGGGAAAUCAUGUUUAUUCCACGAACAGUCAUGAUGAACUGCUUUGGUUAUUACAAUGGGAUGAGAUGAACACACACACACACACACACACAAACAGCUACAGCUUUUGUAAGUAGCACAUGACAAGCAUCAUCAUCCAGAUAUCACCCAAAGUCAUCGAAUUGAGAUUACUUAUGGCAACAGUAGUACGGGUAGGGGUGGUGCUCACAAUAGCUCCUGAGGUAGUCGUAGCCCAUGCUUACGCAGAAUUUUCGGCACUUGCGCUGGUCAUAAUCAUGAACUGGUCUGUUGCAUUCCCACAUAGAUUGACAGUAUAUGUU
This 1696-nucleotide long non-coding RNA is filed under the name Triticum aestivum (bread wheat). Its description in RNAcentral is "long non-coding RNA (TAES_LNC013040)". The record is from RNAcentral. Lineage: Eukaryota; Viridiplantae; Streptophyta; Magnoliopsida; Poales; Poaceae.